AGUGAACGCUGGCGGUAGGCCUAACACAUGCAAGUCGAACGGCAGCACCGUAAGAGCUUGCUCUUACGGGUGGCGAGUGGCGGACGGGUGAGGAAUACAUCGGAAUCUACUUUUUCGUGGGGGAUAACGUAGGGAAACUUAAGCUAAUACAGCAUACGACCUACGGGUGAAAGCAGGGGAUCUUCGGACCUUGCGCGAUUGAAUGAGCCGAUGUCGGAUUAGCUAGUUGGCGGGGUAAAGGCCCACCAAGGCGACGAUCCGUAGCCGGUCUGAGAGGAUGGUCGGCCACACUGGAACUGGGACACGGUCCAGACUCCUACGGGAGGCAGCAGUGGGGAAUAGUGGACAAUGGGCGCAAGCCUGAUCCAGCCAUACCGCGUGGGUGAAGAAGGCCUUCGGGUUGUAAAGCCCUUUUGUUGGGAGAGAAAAGCAGCAGGUUAAUACCCCGCUGUUCUGACGGUACCCAAAGAAUAAGCACCGGCUAACUUCGUG
This 492-nucleotide ribosomal RNA is filed under the name uncultured bacterium. RNAcentral's name for it is "partial 16S ribosomal RNA". It matches the Rfam family "Bacterial small subunit ribosomal RNA", at positions 29 to 507 of the family's 1533-position model. The record is from RNAcentral.